RNAcentral lists this long non-coding RNA (1035 nucleotides) under Phoenix dactylifera (date palm). RNAcentral describes it as "long non-coding RNA (PDAC_LNC008686)". The record is from RNAcentral. Lineage: Eukaryota; Viridiplantae; Streptophyta; Magnoliopsida; Arecales; Arecaceae.
GUUCUCCGGAUAUUUUCUCUCACCAAAAAUCCUUGCUGGCAUUAACUGGUGCUUAGUGGUUACAUGGCAUAAACCACCUAGGUACUUCAUUGUGUGGCAUUAAUCAAUGCUUAUGUGGCAUAAUCGGUGCUUUUGGUGAGAUUUAACAGUCAGAAAGCCAUGUUCCCAGUACGUAUGUCGGGAUGUUUUGAAAAUUGGAAAGCCGUAUUUCUUCCUCGAGUCGCAUGGUCUCGGAAACCCUAUUUCCCCUUUCUUCUUUGUCGGUCCUUCUUCCUUCAUUUGCGUGAUCCUCCAGCUGAUUAAUUUCCAUAAAUAGAAAUUCACCUGUUUGGAUUAUCGGCUCCUAUUAAUCGAAUACUUCCAACAAUGGUAAAGAAAGGGUUUGCUUUUGUGGGCUUAGGGCUCAGAUGUGGGGUACUUGUAAUGAUGGAGGAUGUUUGUAAUGAAUUUAAGCUAAAAUGGAAAUGAAAUCAUUUUGUAUGCCUAAUCUAUGAAAUGUUUGUAUGAAGAAUUGAAAAAUUGAAAAAAAAUUCAAAUGUUUGUAAUCUAUGAAAUUGAAAAAUCGAUGUAAACAAAUGUUUGGUAUGCAGAUGCUAUAUGGUGGCUAUUUGGAAACUACUGAGACUUAUUAGAAUAAUUUCUGAAACAUUGAGGACUAAACGAAAACAAUUCAGAAACUAUAAGGACUAACAAGAUCCACUAUAAAAGUUUUCCAAUAGAUUAUAAUCUCAACACAUUAUUCUAAACUUUUCCUAUAAAAAUAAUUAUACUGUUAAAAACUGUCCACCACAUGAUAAAUUUAAUACAUUAAGAAAAAUUUGAAAAAAUACAUUUAAAAAAGUACAGGACCAUCAAUACUUAUUCCAACACUUAUUCACAAUUUUCAAAAGGUAUAAGACCACCAUUGACAUCUAUUCCAAUACUUACAAGUUGCAACCCCAGCACCAAUCAUCCUAACUCCAGCACCAACCCUCCCAACACCAAUAGCAGCCCUCCCACCACCACCAGCAGCCUUCCCAGCACCAGCACUAGCCC